This 457-nucleotide ribosomal RNA is filed under the name uncultured bacterium. RNAcentral's name for it is "partial 16S ribosomal RNA". It matches the Rfam family "Bacterial small subunit ribosomal RNA", at positions 28 to 522 of the family's 1533-position model. The record is from RNAcentral.
GAUGAAUGCUGGCGGCGUGCCUAAUACAUGCAAGUCGAGCGGAAAGGCCCUUCGGGGUACUCGAGCGGCGGACGGCUGAGUAACGCGUGGGAACAUACCCCAAAGUGAGGGAUAACCGCCCGAAAGGGUGGCUAAUACCGCAUAUGGUCUUCGGAUUAAAGGAUUUAUCCGCUUUGGGAGUGGCCUGCGUAUGAUUAGAUAGUUGGUGAGGUAAUGGCUCACCAAGUCUACGAUCAUUAACUGGUCUGAGAGGAUGAUCAGUCAGACUGGAACUGAGACACGGUCCAGACUCCUACGGGAGGCAGCAGUAAGGAAUCUUCCACAAUGGGCGAAAGCCUGAUGGAGCAACGCCGCGUGCAGGAUGAAGGCCUUCGGGUUGUAAACUGCUUUAUAAGUGAAGAAUAUGACGGUAACUUAUGAAUAAGCACCGGCUAACUACGUGCCAGCCGCCGCCGUA